This 422-nucleotide ribosomal RNA is filed under the name uncultured bacterium. Its description in RNAcentral is "bacterial SSU rRNA". It matches the Rfam family "Bacterial small subunit ribosomal RNA", at positions 355 to 786 of the family's 1533-position model. The record is from RNAcentral.
UAGGGAAUAUUGCACAAUGGGGAAGCCCUGAUGCAGCGACGCCGCGUGAAGGAAGAAGUAUCUCGGUAUGUAAACUUCUAUCAGCAGGGAAGACAAUGACGGUACCUGACUAAGAAGCCCCGGCUAACUACGUGCCAGCAGCCGCGGUAAUACGUAGGGGCGAAGCGUUAUCCGGAUUUACUGGGUGUAAAGGGAGCGUAGACGGAUCUGUAAGUCUGGAGUGAAAAGCCCCGGGGGCUCAAACCCCGGCAGCUGCUUUGGAAAUGACUGUGGAUCUAGAGUGCCGGAGAGGUAAGCGGAAUUCCUAGUGUAGCGGUGAAAUGCGUAGAUAUUAGGAGGAACACCAGUGGCGAAGGCGGCUUACUGGACGGUAACUGACGUUGAGGCUCGAAAAGCGUGGGGAGCAAACAGGAUUAGAUACC